UUAAUUUCGUGGAGAUUCCGAGGUUACUAAUAUUGCUUUUUUUAGACACAUGCACAUUAUAUUUUGACAACCACGUCAAAUCUUAGGGUCUAGGUGACGUAAUGCAGCUAUUAUUGAUUGAAAACGAGCGAACUAUGUUUUCUCCUUGCCUUGUUACGCGGGAGUGAUGUGCCCGCGCGGCGACGCGGCUGCGUCGGCUGCUUCGCUCCGUCGCAACUACGUCGUCUGCCGGGUUUCUUCCCGAUGCUCCCACUUCAUCCCGUUCUCGAAGCAAGGUUCGCGAAGACGCGAAUGGUUACGUUGCACCGGGCAAGAAAACGGCCACCGAGGACCUCCUCCACAUUCCUCGUUUCCGUGCGGACACCUUCGAGGCGUUCGCCAGCGGUGACCGUAGUUGUGGACGCCACCAGUCUGCUGUACCGACGCUCCUGCUUACCGUCGCCGACGGGACCGAGCGAGGAACCCGCGAAAAAGUCCUGGUCCUAGUCUCAGCAGCUAGACUGCUGCAUCCUGCAAGGCAUAAAGGAUCCUAAGGGACUGCGCUGUCGAGAUGAAUCUCCCUGGUCGUGGAGGAGCCAGUACCGUUGGAUACUUUCGACUCUGCCGUCCCCUACUGCAGCAGCGAGGUGCCAUACAACUGCAUAUUUCCUGCUCCCAGCAUCAUGCCAGACUCUGAGGCGACAUACUCUCCAUCCAACCCUGCUAAAGGUUUCAAGAGACAUCCUGAAGAGGCUACACCUUGGCAAAGCAGCUCUCCUGUUGGUCUUUAAUAAAUGGGGCUUUCAUCGAGGAGGUAGACUGGAACUGUAUAAACCAAACCCGGGCAACUGUGCAUGAGAGCACAAACAUUUAACACAAGUUCGAUGCCAUUCAGACUUACAAAGCUAAACG
Molecule: long non-coding RNA, 891 nt
Organism: Ixodes scapularis (black-legged tick)
Lineage: Eukaryota; Metazoa; Arthropoda; Arachnida; Ixodida; Ixodidae
Exons: 3
Source: RefSeq, a predicted model, not a curated record